AUGGACGAACAUUUUCUUUCUCAUUAUGCUAUUUUUGAGUAGCAUGUACACCAGUCUGAUGGGACUUUUUCAUCUUCCGUCUAAUUUUGAGAGCUGCAGCCAAACGUUAAGAAAUCAGCUUGCUGUGUGAAACUGAGUACAGGUUCAUGGUUACUGUGAAGAGCUGUUUGUGUUUCAUCAGAACUUUAUAUACAGCUUGUACAGUUUUUAAGAUGUUUUAUUGACAUGUUGUAUUUUAAGUAAAUACUUCUGAAGUGAAAUAAAGAAAAAGAAUGUUA
Trichomycterus rosablanca is the source of this 278-nucleotide long non-coding RNA. RefSeq lists it as uncharacterized. NCBI's taxonomy places the organism in Eukaryota, Metazoa, Chordata, Actinopteri, Siluriformes, Trichomycteridae. The record is from RefSeq and is a predicted model, not a curated record. The transcript is spliced from 2 exons.